This is a long non-coding RNA of Equus quagga, 475 nucleotides long. RefSeq lists it as uncharacterized. The transcript has 3 exons. Lineage: Eukaryota; Metazoa; Chordata; Mammalia; Perissodactyla; Equidae. The record is from RefSeq and is a predicted model, not a curated record.
AUACUUUGUAGAAGAGGACUCCAGGGUGUUUGAAGGGAGCGCUCAACUUGAAAACGGGAGUGUUGUGUGGAAGAUGAAGAGGAAACAAUUGAAGAAGCAGAAAUGGAAGAAGGAACAGAAAUGAUCAGGCGAGCUGUUCCCCUGGGCGCGGGAAGGCAUAGCAAACUCAAAAUCCUGCUUUGCUCCCCAGCUUGGGGAAUGCUACAACCCUCAUUCAUUCAUUCAUCUGUUCAUACAUUCAGCAUAAAAUGUUCCCUGAGUGCUCACCGGGUGUCCGGUCUGAUGACCGCAGCGUAUACGGCACUGCAUAGAAGAGACUCGCCUCACCUGGUAGGGUCCAGGAGGCGUUAAACACGGUACAUGAACGACAAACACAUCGUCAUGAGUUGUAGUGGGGGAGAAGAUGAUAUUUAAACUGACGCCCCAUGAGGCCAGGAGUGGGGGGACGAGCCCCAUAAAGACCCAGGGCAUGGCG